AUUGAACGCUGGCGGCAUGCUUUACACAUGCAAGUCGAACGGGGUGAAGGGGCAACUCUUCAUUCAGUGGCGAACGGGUGAGUAAUGCAUCGGAACGUACCUCGUAGUGGGGGAUAACUCGGCGAAAGCCGUGCUAAUACCGCAUAUGCUCUACGGAGGAAAGCAGGGGACCUGAAAGGGCCUUGCGCUAUGGGAGCGGCCGAUGUCCGAUUAGCUAGUUGGUGGGGAAUGGCCUACCAAGGCGACGAUCGGUAGCUGGUCUGAGAGGAUGAUCAGCCACACUGGGACUGAGACACGGCCCAGACUCCUACGGGAGGCAGCAGUGGGGAAUUUUUGACAAUGGGGGAAACCCUGAUCGAGCGACGCCGCGUGGAGGAUGAAGGUCUUCGGGUUGUAAACUCCUGUCAUUUGAGAACAAGGUGCACCGGUUAACUGCCGGUGCAUUGAU
This 448-nucleotide ribosomal RNA is filed under the name uncultured bacterium. Its description in RNAcentral is "bacterial SSU rRNA". It matches the Rfam family "Bacterial small subunit ribosomal RNA", at positions 30 to 473 of the family's 1533-position model. The record is from RNAcentral.